UUUGUAAUGCGUAUUUGGAAAUCAGUAUACGAGUACUUUAGACCCUCACGUGUGCAUUUAAGCGAAACCAUUGUAAGAAAUUCAAAAAGUCGGAAAAUGAAAUUAAUGUAUCCUCAGAUUCUUCGGCCCAGAUUGAAAGACCCCAUUUGGAGCAACUCCCCUUGGGUCAAGUGGAAAUCGAAGACAUCAAGGUUUUCGAUAAGAUGAACCUGCUGGGCAGCUUUUGGAAUCGGCACGGUGCCAAUGUCGAUCUGUGAAACGUUUGUGUUUUUUCAACUAUUAAAUGUUUUCUAUACCUUAA
This is a long non-coding RNA of Drosophila elegans, 301 nucleotides long. RefSeq lists it as uncharacterized. The record is from RefSeq and is a predicted model, not a curated record. Lineage: Eukaryota; Metazoa; Arthropoda; Insecta; Diptera; Drosophilidae. The transcript has 2 exons.